UGGGGAAUUUUGGACAAUGGGGGGAAACCCCUGAUCCAGCCAUCCCGCGUGUGCGAUGAAGGCCUUCGGGUUGUAAAGCACUUUUGGCAGGAAAGAAACGUCGCGGGUUAAUACCCCGCGAAACUGACGGUACCUGCAGAAUAAGCACCGGCUAACUACGUGCCAGCAGCCGCGGUAAUACGUAGGGUGCAAGCGUUAAUCGGGAUUACUGGGCGUAAAGCGUGCGCAGGCGGUUCGGAAAGAAAGAUGUGAAAUCCCAGAGCUUAACUUUGGAACUGCAUUUUUAACUACCGGGCUAGAGUGUGUCAGAGGGAGGUGGAAUUCCGCGUGUAGCAGUGAAAUGCGUAGAUAUGCGGAGGAACACCGAUGGCGAAGGCAGCCUCCUGGGAUAACACUGACGCUCAUGCACGAAAGCGUGGGGAGCAAACAGGAUUAGAUACCCUGGUAGUCCACGCCCUAAACGAUGUCAACUAGCUGUUGGGGCCUUCGGGCCUUGGUAGCGCAGCUAACGCGUGAAGUUGACCGCCUGGGGAGUACGGUCGC
RNAcentral lists this ribosomal RNA (543 nucleotides) under uncultured bacterium. RNAcentral describes it as "partial 16S ribosomal RNA". It matches the Rfam family "Bacterial small subunit ribosomal RNA", at positions 355 to 889 of the family's 1533-position model. The record is from RNAcentral.